GACGAACGCUGGCGGCGUGCCUAAUACAUGCAAGUCGAACGCACUCUCGUUUAGAUUGAAGGAGCUUGCUCCUGAUUGAUAAACAUUUGAGUGAGUGGCGGACGGGUGAGUAACACGUGGGUAACCUGCCCUAAAGUGGGGGAUAACAUUUGGAAACAGAUGCUAAAUACCGCAUAAAACCUAACACCGCAUGGUGUAGGGUUGAAAGAUGGUUUCGGCUAUCACUUUAGGAUGGACCCGCGGUGCAUUAGUUAGUUGGUGAGGUAAAGGCUCACCAAGACCGUGAUGCAUAGCCGACCUGAGAGGGUAAUCGGCCACACUGGGACUGAGACACGGCCCAGACUCCUACGGGAGCAGCAGUAGGGAAUCUUCCACAAUGGACGAAAGUCUGAUGGAGCAACGCGCGUGAGUGAAGAAGGUUUCGGAUCGUAAAACUCUGUUGUUGGAGAAGAAUGUAUCUGAUAGUAACUGAUCAGGUAGUGACGGUAUCCAACCAGAAAG
Molecule: ribosomal RNA, 501 nt
Filed under: uncultured bacterium
Lineage: Bacteria
Description: bacterial SSU rRNA
Rfam family: Bacterial small subunit ribosomal RNA
Source: RNAcentral